AAUCAGGGAGGUGACAUCCAGGCGUCUUGACGCCAUAGUCGUCUGUCCUACAGUUCUGCGCGUGCGCCAGGUCCUAGGAGACGGCGCGGCUGCCGCGAGGCUCCCAAGCCAAUCAGAAUCCACCGCUUUCCACCUUCACUCACCAUGUGGGGCUGGAGGGCAGCGACGCUGGACACCUAGGAAGCUGGCCACCACCACACGGUGAGUGUGUGGGCCCGGGUGUCCAGAGAGGGGAAAGCGGAGCCCCUGGAGCUGCUGAAAGGCCAGGAAGACGCGGGCCUCCCAGAGGUCAUCUCUGGGAUCUGCGGGCGCCAUACUGCCGCAGGUUCUUGAAAAUUUACUGAUGGAACACUGAAAGCAAAUCGGGGACAGUUUUCUGGAUGUAAAGGGGCCGAUUUAGGGAGAGUCAAUGGACGAUACCGCGGCGGCAGUUCGUCCUCUAAGGACAAAUUUGCUAGCCUAGUCAAACUGAGAUAUAAAUGAGAUGGCCCCCUCGAGCGCAGGGGCACACUCGAUGGGGGAUGGUCCUUCACUGAAUUUUCCUCUGUCUCAACCGGUGGCUGGUCCCUACAGGGACCUUUGUCCGUCUGUUUCCUGUCCCACUGACUACCACAGUCACUAGACUGACUAUCAUGCCGAGACUCCUCCUGAACCUUCUCUAGGAGCUCGCAUGCUUCAUCAAGUAAAAGCCCUAUGCUCUCAGUGGGGUCCUGAAGUGUCUGGUCAAUGAGUUGCCAUAAUCUAAGUAUUUCUGCCGGCUCUCCGGCUGCUCUCAACUGUCUCCCUACUCUCCGCCACUGUUGCUCAUCUAAUUGGCCACCUUCCACAAACCAUGGUGACGUCUUGGCAACAGCCCUAGUGAAUGCACAUAC
This is a non-coding RNA of Oryctolagus cuniculus (rabbit), 872 nucleotides long. Lineage: Eukaryota; Metazoa; Chordata; Mammalia; Lagomorpha; Leporidae. The record is from RefSeq and is a predicted model, not a curated record.